Molecule: ribosomal RNA, 461 nt
Filed under: uncultured bacterium
Lineage: Bacteria
Description: partial 16S ribosomal RNA
Rfam family: Bacterial small subunit ribosomal RNA
Source: RNAcentral
AUUGAACGCUGGCGGCAGGCUUAACACAUGCAAGUCGAGCGGGGUGAUGGUGCUUGCACUAUCACUUAGCGGCGGACGGGUGAGUAACGCGUGGGAACGUGCCCUUUAGGUCGGAAUAACCCAGGGAAACUUGGGCUAAUACCGGAUACGCCCUUCGGGGGAAAGAUUUAUCGCUAAAGGAUCGGCCCGCGUAAGAUUAGCUAGUUGGUGAGGUAACGGCUCACCAAGGCUAUGAUCUUUAGCUGUUCUGAGAGGAAGAUCAGCCACACUGGGACUGAGACACGGCCCAGACUCCUACGGGAGGCAGCAGUGGGGAAUAUUGGACAAUGGGCGCAAGCCUGAUCCAGCCAUGCCGCGUGAGUGAUGAAGGCCUUAGGGUUGUAAAGCUCCUUUACCAGGGAAGAUAAUGACGGUACCUGGAGAAUAAGCCCCGGCUAACUUCGUGCCAGCAGCCGCCGUAA